RNAcentral lists this long non-coding RNA (319 nucleotides) under Pan troglodytes (chimpanzee). RNAcentral describes it as "long non-coding RNA NONPTRT010726". Lineage: Eukaryota; Metazoa; Chordata; Mammalia; Primates; Hominidae. The record is from RNAcentral.
CAUGAGGGUCCCUGCUCAGCUCCUGGGGCUCCUGCUGCUCUGGCUCUCAGGUGCCAGAUGUGACAUCCAGUUGACCCAGUCUCCAUCCUCCCUGUCUGCAUCUGUAGGAGACAGAGUCACCAUCACUUGCCAGGCGAGUCAGGACAUUAGCAACUAUUUAAAUUGGUAUCAGCAGAAACCAGGGAAAGUUCCUAAGCUCCUGAUCUAUAGUGCAUCCAAUUUGCAAUCUGGAGUCCCAUCUCGGUUCAGUGGCAGUGGAUCUGGGACAGAUUUCACUCUCACUAUCAGCAGCCUGCAGCCUGAAGAUGUUGCAACUUAU